This 492-nucleotide ribosomal RNA is filed under the name uncultured bacterium. Its description in RNAcentral is "partial 16S ribosomal RNA". It matches the Rfam family "Bacterial small subunit ribosomal RNA", at positions 29 to 507 of the family's 1533-position model. The record is from RNAcentral.
AGUGAACGCUGGCGGCAGGCCUAACACAUGCAAGUCGAACGGCAGCACACUAAGAGCGUGCUCUUACGGGUGGCGAGUGGCGGACGGGUGAGGAAUACAUCGGAAUCUACUCUUUCGUGUAGCAUAACGUAGGGAAAGCUACGCUAAUACAGCAUACGAUGUACCGUUGAAAGCAGUGGAUAUUUGCGCCUUGUGCGAAUGAAUGCGCGGAUGUCGGUUUGGCUAGUUGGCGGGGUAAUGGCCCAGCAAGGGGGGGAUCGGUUGCCGGACUGAGUGACUGGUAGGCGACAUUGGAGGUUGACCACGGUCAAGAGGCCUGCGGGAGGGAGCAGAGGGGUAUAUGGGACAAUGGGCGCAAGCCUGAUCCAGCCAUACCGCGUGGGUGAAGAAGGCGUUCGGUUUGUAAAGCCCUUUUGUUGGGUAAGAACAGCAGCAGGUUGAUACGCCGCUGUUCUGACGGUACCCAAAGAAUAAGCACCGGCUAACUUCGUG